GUCACUAUGUACACAGCAGAGUCCAGGUUUGGUACUGUCUGUGUCACUAUGUACACAGCAGAGUCCAGGUUUGGUACUGUCUGUGUCUCUAUGGACACAACAGAGUCAUUUAUGUAUAGCUCUGUUACACAGAACACACGUCUGUCUAGGCCUGCACCUAAUACAACACAACUCCAAAGGCUUUAUUCCAACUGCAAGGUUAGUGGCAAACAUAAUGAUGUUUUUAUCACUGAUGGUGAUGAUGACUGUGGAUACAGACUUGAACUUGUGCAUCUCCUUACUCUAAUGGGGAUAA
Non-coding RNA from Salvelinus sp. IW2-2015, 295 nucleotides. Lineage: Eukaryota; Metazoa; Chordata; Actinopteri; Salmoniformes; Salmonidae. The record is from RefSeq and is a predicted model, not a curated record.